UAUAAAUACCUGUAAUUGUUCUCAGGGCCCCUAUAAUCCAGUGAGUUGUGUUCGUGCGAGUUCGAGUUCCUGUGCGGGCUCUGUGUGGCCAUCGCAGCCGGGUUCGGUGGAGGUGGCGGCUCCAUUUUACUGAAGGAGCUCACCUAUCCGAUAAACUUGCCACGCUCCAACAGUGCCGUUAUGUAAAGUAUCAACGACGUGGAAGACAUCGCCGCAGCGAAAAGACAUUUCCCCAUCAGUCGGUUCCGUGUAGUGGAAAUGAGUUUUUACGUGAAAUGAAUCACCCGCUGUAAUGAAAUAAUAUAGUUUAAGUAAGACCAGCUGAAUUGUAAAUGAAUGUGAUUCUUAUGAAUAUAUCCGAAAAUAUAUGGAAAUUAAUAAAUAUUAAUGAAAAA
Long non-coding RNA from Bombyx mori (domestic silkworm), 395 nucleotides. RefSeq lists it as uncharacterized. The transcript is spliced from 2 exons. The record is from RefSeq and is a predicted model, not a curated record. NCBI's taxonomy places the organism in Eukaryota, Metazoa, Arthropoda, Insecta, Lepidoptera, Bombycidae.